Molecule: non-coding RNA, 1130 nt
Organism: Ictidomys tridecemlineatus (thirteen-lined ground squirrel)
Lineage: Eukaryota; Metazoa; Chordata; Mammalia; Rodentia; Sciuridae
Source: RefSeq, a predicted model, not a curated record
CUGGAGACUUUGGGGCGCGGGUGAAACCCGCAGGGGGCUGCCGUUAACCCCUUCCUGCCCGACCUGAAACCUGCGGCCCCUCGACCCAGCGCACCGGGGCUUCCCCAGCACAUGGUGGGGGGCAGUCCCUGCUGGGGGAGAACCCCUCAGUGGAGUUGAGACCCCCCCCAGUUGUCAUGGAAACCAGAGCUUCCCGCGCAGCCGGGCGCGUGCUUCCUCCUCACUUCCUGUCUUCCUCCAGCUCCCGAGUCCAGUGACAAUGAGCUUCCCGUUCCCGGUCUCCGGAGAAGGGGGUGGGGGUCAGCGAGGCCUGGGUGUGCGUGACUCAAGCCAGCCCGGGGGUCCCUUGGCCGCAACCGACCUCGCUCCCUCUUCUUAGCCCCUGUGACUCACCCCUCGCGGCUUUCCCCGCGUGUGACUCAGGCCCCUGGGAGGGGGCUGGGGACUUUGGGACCCCCUCCAGGCAGCCGGCACUGAGAACUAAGUUCUGGGGACCUUGAGCUUCGGGGGAGGGGCUCCCCUUCCAGAGAGAAGCCGUGAGGCGAGGCGGCUGCUGAGUCCCUUUAGCUGGCCCUUACCAAGGUCACUAGGGCGCUUUCCCAACCCCACCCCAGGCCUCCGGGAACCCAGCUCCAGCACCCCCACCACACACGCGCACCCGCGCGCACACGCAGCCCACAGGAAGUUUUGGCAGAGCCUGUCGUGGCGAUGAAACGGUUAAAGCCGUUUUCUUAUUCAUUUCAUCCAGGGGCCCAUUUUGACUCAGAGCAAGCGGUGCCCCCUGGAGCCGGCCUCACGGGCAGGGGAAGAAGACCCUGUGCAAAAGGACCCACAGAAUUUGGCAUGCGCUUGGCACUGCACAGACGCCUGUCUGCUUGUGAUCAUCCACAAUAGAGUUGCUAAUGCUCCAGAGGCAGACAGCACUUCUAGCUAUGGAACGUCAGAUGAGUUCCUCAAUCUCCUGCACCUCCGCUUCUCAUCUGUUAAAUGGGGAUACAAAGAGCAAACAUUUUGCUGGGCUGUUGGAAGCAGUCAGUGACUUACUUUAUGAAAGCCACUUAGAACAGUGUCUGGCCCAUGGUCAGAGCCAUAUAAGUGUUACCUAUUAAAAUAAUAAUUACUAUUUCUUA